ACAUGCAAGUCGAGCGAAUGGAUUAAGAGCUUGCUCUUAUGAAGUUAGCGGCGGACGGGUGAGUAACACGUGGGUAACCUACCCAUAAGACUGGGAUAACUCCGGGAAACCGGGGCUAAUACCGGAUAAUAUUUUGAACUGCAUAGUUCGAAAUUGAAAGGCGGCUUCGGCUGUCACUUAUGGAUGGACCCGCGUCGCAUUAGCUAGUUGGUGAGGUAACGGCUCACCAAGGCGACGAUGCGUAGCCGACCUGAGAGGGUGAUCGGCCACACUGGGACUGAGACACGGCCCAGACUCCUACGGGAGGCAGCAGUAGGGAAUCUUCCGCAAUGGACGAAAGUCUGACGGAGCAACGCCGCGUGAGUGAUGAAGGCUUUCGGGUCGUAAAACUCUGUUGUUAGGGAAGAACAAGUGCUAGUUGAAUAAGCUGGCACCUUGACGGUACCUAACCAGAAAGCCACGGCUAACUACGUGCCAGCAGCCGCGGUAAUACGUAGGUGGCAAGCGUUAUCCGGAAUUAUUGGGCGUAAAGCGCGCGCAGGUGGUUUCUUAAGUCUGAUGUGAAAGCCCACGGCUCACCCGUGGAGGGUCAUUGGAAACUGGGAGACUUGAGUGCAGAAG
RNAcentral lists this ribosomal RNA (621 nucleotides) under Bacillus sp. AR3(3). RNAcentral's name for it is "bacterial SSU rRNA". It matches the Rfam family "Bacterial small subunit ribosomal RNA", at positions 53 to 654 of the family's 1533-position model. The record is from RNAcentral. Lineage: Bacteria; Bacillati; Bacillota; Bacilli; Caryophanales; Bacillaceae.